GUAUUAAAGAACGGACGCUUCCGGC
Molecule: non-coding RNA, 25 nt
Filed under: Cricetulus griseus (Chinese hamster)
Lineage: Eukaryota; Metazoa; Chordata; Mammalia; Rodentia; Cricetidae
Source: RNAcentral